GGACAACUAUGUUUUAGUAUGUACAAAGUUUAUCAGCCAUCCUGACUUGAUAGAAGGCCUUGUUGCACAGAUUUUUUGGAAGGAACUGAAGGAACUCUUUUUUGAUUAGUUGCAUGGUCUGGCAUUCUGGAAACAGAAUGCCAGGAAGAUUGUCGCUCUCUCUGUGAGCGCUUAUGAGGAGCUGCAAAGGAGAAAGAAGAGGAGGAGUGGUGUCUCAGAGGACAGCAUGAGAGAGAAGCUGGAGGAGCUCUUCCUGGCAGCAGAAGAGUUGCCAGCAGUAAUCAAAACCCUGCAGGACCUGGGACAAUAUGCCAGGUCCAAUAAAAUGACUACAACAGCCUUGACUGAGGAAGAAGUGACCUCUGUCGAGGCCACAUACAAAUGUGUCAUCUGCAGAGUGAGCGCUCCACGUUUUACCAUUUUGAACAGGAAUGAGGGAUUUCAAACUGAAUUCACCCAAAUUGGCUGUCGCCUUUGUGUUGAUCAGUGGUUGAUCCAUGAGCCAAGCCGCCCGAAGUGCAGAGAUCCAG
Long non-coding RNA from Cheilinus undulatus (humphead wrasse), 530 nucleotides. RefSeq lists it as uncharacterized. The record is from RefSeq and is a predicted model, not a curated record. The transcript has 4 exons. NCBI's taxonomy places the organism in Eukaryota, Metazoa, Chordata, Actinopteri, Labriformes, Labridae.